This 114-nucleotide non-coding RNA is filed under the name Brassica napus (rape). RNAcentral describes it as "rRNA SSU_rRNA_eukarya". It matches the Rfam family "Eukaryotic small subunit ribosomal RNA", at positions 1678 to 1787 of the family's 1831-position model. The record is from Rfam by way of RNAcentral. RNAcentral also lists the same sequence under 1 other name. Lineage: Eukaryota; Viridiplantae; Streptophyta; Magnoliopsida; Brassicales; Brassicaceae.
GCUCCUACCGAUUGAAUGAUCCAGUGAAGUGUUCGGAUCGCGGCGAUGUGGGUGGUUUGCCGUCUGCGACUUCGCGAGAAGUCCACUAAACCUUAUCAUUUAGAGGAAGGAGAA